GUAUAGUAGUGCGUGUGCACAACAGUAAUUUCAUUACAUUCGAGUUUGUGUAAAAUCCUCUGCCGGCCGAAGCUAGCAGAGGCCAAAGGUUCACAGGGUAUUGGAUGAAAGUCACCGACGUGCACUUGCCAAAGCCGAAGCCGGCCAGCACUGAAGGCAACCAUUCGCAAUCAUUAAUGAUCCUUCCGCAGGUUCACCUACGGAAA
RNAcentral lists this unclassified non-coding RNA (206 nucleotides) under uncultured fungus. RNAcentral's name for it is "sequence contains ITS1". Lineage: Eukaryota; Fungi. The record is from RNAcentral.